GUCCUUUCGAGAUUCAAGAACAUCCAAUAAAAUUGGAAUGAUACGGAGAAGAUUAACAUGGUUUAUGCACAAGGAUGCAUGACACCCACAAAUCAAGAAACUAAAGGGUUGUUU
Nicotiana attenuata is the source of this 114-nucleotide small nuclear RNA. The record is from Rfam. NCBI's taxonomy places the organism in Eukaryota, Viridiplantae, Streptophyta, Magnoliopsida, Solanales, Solanaceae.